GGAAGUUUAAAAAAUGGACAAUUCAUUUUGAAUUAGGAAAAUGUCCCUGAAAACUGGGAAUUCUUGGACAUCCGGGAAUUUUUUUAAAUUGUUGAAGUAGAGCACACAAUUUUGAACAGACUGAAUAUUUUGGAGUUGCAACAGUUUGAAUCAGAUAAAAAUCUGGCGGCUUAGUUGCCAGAAUUUUUGUGUUAAAUUGACAUUGGUUUUUACAACAUGAUAUUGUUCAUGGAAAAACAGUACAAAUAUUUUUUUUAUUCUGGCAACUGAGCUGCCAGUUUUUCUACCGUAAAAACAAAUGUACCGUCUUUCCAUUUACAGUACAGUUAAAAACAACAACCGUAUAUUUUACAGUCAAAAACUGGCAGCUCAGUCAACAGAAUUUUCACGCAAAAAACGGUAAUAUGCUGUAGACAAGGUAAAAUUUAUUUUCAUUUUAUUAUUUGAUGGGUAGUUUGCUGUAAAGUUAAGUAUUUUUUAUUUAGACAAAAAUAUGUUUGGAAAGUAUAAUAUACUGUAAUAUUUGUUGCAAUAAUGGAUACUAUUAAAGUUGAAAAGGCAUGCAAAUUCAAGCAGUACAUAUAUUUUUUCUGUCAUAUUUAGUGAGAAAAUAUGAAGUACUUUAUUGACACAUAUCAUUUCCAGGUGUUUGUGGGCCAGAUAAAAUAAUGUUGCGGGCCGUAUCUGGCCCCUGGGCCUUGAGUUUGACAAGUGUGGCCUAAAACCACCUUUAGACGUGUUCCCUGGGCAAUACUUUAAUGACCAUUGUGGAGAAUGCAUAUAUUUUUGAUAUACUUCAGUUAGGGCUGGGCGAUAUGGCCUUUUUUUAAUAUCUCGAUAUUUUUAGGCCAUAUCGCGAUACACCAUAUAUAUGUGGAUAUUUUGCCUUAGCCUUGAAUGAACACUUGAUGCAUAUAAUCACAGCAGUAUGAUGAUUCUAUGUGUCUACAUUAAAACAUUCUUCUUCAUACUGCAUUAAUAUAUGCUACUUUUAAACUUUCAUGCAGAGAGGGAAAUCACAACUAAGUCAAUUUAGCAAAAGUGUAUUUAUGAAACAGUUAUUAAGCAGUGGCACAAACAUUCAUGUCAUUUACAAACAGAAAGUGCAAGAUUGUCAGAGACAUUUUAAAACAAGCUAUUAGUGCACUUUUGUGCAUGAUGUCAUUUUCUAUAUUGCACAGAGACAAACCCGCAAUAUAUCGAGUAACCGGUAUAUCAAUAUAUCGCCCAGCCCUAACUUCAGUAUAACAUUGUAUUGUGUGAUCAUGCUGCUGGUACUUUUCCAGUAGCAUGCGGCCGGUAUACUUUUGUUGCCUUAUUAUCUGUUGUUGAUUUCCAUUAUUUGGUCCUGGAGUGUCCAGUGUCUUGCACAAACAUGAUGAAUCACUCCUCAAAAGGGAUUCAGUUCCAUUCCGUGAAGGACACGGUCCCUCUUCUUAUCAGCAGGUGCAUCCCUCUCUGUGUAUGCGGGCCAGAUGCCUUGAGUUGACACCUGUGGUAUAGCGUCUAAGUUGUGCUGUGUACAAUCCACACCUGGUGAAAACCCCUGCAGCUAGUCCCAAGGGGGUGUCGUUGGCGCGCUGCAGCACCUCCUCUUCUGUGUCAAAGGGCAGCACACACAUGACGGGACCAAAGAUCUCCUCCCUCACGCAGGUCAUGUCAUCUUUGCAAUCAGCUGUGGGAGGAGGAAGAGGAGUGCGUGAGUACAAUCGCUUGAUUCCACACCUAAACUGUGAAAAUAGUCAACACUUUAGAAGCACAAAGGUCUCACCAAGUACACACGGUGUCAUGUAGUAUCCACCUUUCAGUUUAGGGUCUGAGGGGACAAAGGGUGUACCCCCACACAACACUACAGCCCCCUGGAAAUGCAAUAUUGGAAGAAGAGAUCCAUAAAACGUCAAAAAAUUAUUUGCAACCAAAAAAAUUGUAAGUGAAAAAUGAUUUGAAACUUAAAGUAACUAUUUGCAAGUAACAAACAUGAUUUGUAACCUAAAAAAAUUACUUGCACCCAGAAAAGAGAUCCACAACUCUAAAGCGAUUUACAACAACAACAAAAAAGAUAUACAACCAAAUAAGAUUUGCAAAAAAAAAUUAAAAAAACAUGAUUUGCAACAAAAAAAACGACUUCUAGCAAAAAAAUAUUUGCCACCAAAAAACUAACAAAUUAUUUGCAAGUAAAACAUAAUUUGAUGAAAAUAAUUUGCCACCAAACAAACAAAAAAAUAAACAACUAAAACAUGAUUUAAUUGCAAAAAAAGAUUUGCAACCAACAAACUUAGAUAAAAAAAACAUUUGCCCUCACAAAAUGAUUUGUUACGAAAAAUGGUUUGCAAACAAACAAAACAAAGAUUUGCAUUUCAAACAAUGAUUUGCUUACAAAAAACAUAAACAAAAAAUGACAAGCGAAAAACUUAUUUGCAACCAAAAAAUGUGCAUCUAAAAGAAAAAUUUGUAGGCAAAAAAAAGAUUUGGUUCCAAAAGACAAUCUGCAACCAAAAGGAAGCUUUGAGAAAUAUUUGUAACCAAAAAACAAAAAACAAAAAAAUAAAUAAACAACCAAAAUUUAUAAGCAAAAAAUAUUUUCAACCAACAAACUUACAUCAAAAAAAGAUUUGCACUCACAAAAUGAUUUGUUACCAAAAAUGGUUUGCAAACAAACAAAAAGAAGAUUUGCAUUUAAAACAAAAAUUUGCAACAUCAAAAAGAUUUGCAAACAAAAAAUGACACCCAAAAAACAUAUCUGCAACAAAAAAAGUGUGCAUCUAAAAGAAAUAUUUGUAGGCAAAACAAUUAUUUUGUUCCAAAAGACAAUCUGCAACCAAAAGGAAGCGCUGAGAAAUAUUUGUAACCAAAUAACGAUUUGCAACUCAAAAAUGUUUUUGUAAAAAAAAAAAAUAUAUAUAUUUUUUAAACCAAACUACCAUUUUUAAACUAAAAAAACAACAAUAAUUGUGUGAAUGUUUUAAACCUUCACACAUGUUUUCUACACCAAAAUUAAUCUCUUUAUUAUUAUUCUCCACAUUUUGGCGCGCUCUACCUUCCACAUUUUUCACCUCAUUCAAAGCGUUCCAACUUCAAACUGUUCAGCCUAUUCAGGAUUUGCAGGCUUUCCCUAGACAAAUUCCAAAAAUUCCCAGAUUUCCAGGUUUUCCAGGACAUUUUUCCCAUUCAAAAUGAAUUGUCCAUUUUUCAAACUUCCACCAUUUUCCACAUUUUUGAACCUAUUCAAACCAUUUCACCUUCAACACAUUCCACUCAUCCUGGACGUUUAAACUAUCAUUUUUCCAAGUUCAAAAAAAUUCCAGGAAUUCCCAGAAUUCCCUUUUUUUCAAACCCUAUUUUCACCCUUUUUUCUGUCGACUACUCCUUCCACAUUUUUCAACCCACUUCAACCAUCAAAACAUUCCUCUUAAUCAGGACAUAAAAACGAAGUGGGUUUUUUUUUAGUGGAAAAAUUCCCGGUUUUCCCAAAAUUCCUUAACACAAUUUCUCAAUUAAAAAUGUUACUACUUCAACAUUUCUCCACCGAUUUGAAAAAUUCCAACACCAACCAUUUCAACUCAUUCAGAACAUUCAAGUCUUUUAACAUUUUCCCAAAAAUUCCCACUUUUUCCCCGAAAUUCCCAAAUGUUCAUGAAAUUCCCAUUGAUAUGAAAGGGACAUUUUUCAAAGUUCCACAACUCCCACAUUUUUCAUCCGAUUCAAACUGUUCCAACUCCAAAAUUAUCAGCCUGUUCAAAAUUGUGUGCUCUCUUUAAAAACAUUUUUAAAAUUCCUGGAUUUCCAAGAAUUCCCAGUUUUCAGGGAAAUUUCCCCAUUCAAAAUGAAUUGUCAAUUUUUUAAACUUCCACAAUCCCCACAUUCUUCAACCCAUUCCAACAUCAACACAUUCCACUCAUCCUGGACGUUCAAACUAUCAUUUUUCCAAGUUCAAAAACAUUCCAGGCAUUCCCAGAAUUCCCUUUUUUUCAAACCCUUUUUUCUGUCGACUAGUCCUUCCACAUUUUUCAACCCACUUCAACUGUUCCACCGUCAAAACAUUCCUCUUAAUCAGGACAAAAAAACUAACUGUUUUUUUUAAGUGGAAAAAUUCCCGGUUUUCCCGAAAUUCCUUAAUACAAUUUCUCAAUUAAAAAUGUUACUACUUCAACAUUUCUCGACCGAUUUGAAAAAUUCCAACACCAACCAUUUCAACUCAUUCAGAACAUUCAAGUCUUUUAACAUUUUCCAAAAAAUUGCCGCUUUUUUCCCCGAAAUUACCAAAUGUUCAUGAAAUUCCCAUUGAAAUGAAUUUUUCAAAGUUCCACAACUCCCACAUUUUUCAUCCGAUUCAAACCCUUCCAACUCCAAAAUUAUCAGCCUGUUCAAAAUUGUGUGCUCUCUUUAAAAAAAAUCCUGGAUUCCCAAGAAUUCCCAGUUUUUAGGGACAUUUUCCCCAUUCAAAAAUGAAUUGUCCACUUUUUAAACUUCCACAAUUCCCACAUUCUUCAACCCAUUCAAAGCAUUCCACCUUCAACACAUUCCACUCAUCCGACUAACACUUUCCCAAGUUCCAAACCAAAUUCCGUUUUUCCUGGAAAUUCAAACUCUUAAACAUUCAAACCAUUCCAACAAUCAAACUAUUCUUACAUUCAUACUACAUUCUGUCAGCAUUGGAGCAUUCACACGCAAUUCCUUCAGGAAUGGCCUCAUCUAGUUUCAAAUCCAUGUUUGGUUGCGUAAAAAGAGAACACUCUCCCGAAACGUGGUGACAAUAUAAAAGUACCUCCUCCUUGGCCUGCUCCACAAAGCCCAGGACCUGGUCUAGAUGAGACCUGCUGACCAGCGCUCCCAUCCGCGUGGUCUCCAGUAAGGGGUCUCCGAUCUCAAUAGCCCGGGUUCUCUUCACCACUUCGUCCACAAACUCGGGCAGGAUGUCACUCUGGACAAAAACUCUUGUGGCGUUGCUACAAACCUGGGAACGGAGCACGGGUGUGACGAUGAGGUCGGGGGAGGGGUGAAGAGGCGGAGUCUACCUGGCCUUGAGAGAGGAAGUUGGCCAUGAGAGCUCCCCGCACGGCGUUCUGCAGGUCGCUGUCCUCAAAGAUGAUCAGGGGAGAUUUCCCCCCCAGCUCCAAUGUCACAGGCUUCACUCCUUUGGACGCCAUUUCCAUGAUCUGUGGGGCGGCAGGAAAUCAUUCUUAUUUUGACACGCCUCACCUGUCUUCACCACAAACAAAACAGCCAAUUAAGACAUGACAUGGAGCAGAAGUGCACGCACAACAAUAUCACAACAAGCUUUUCAAAACAAUAAUUAGGAUUAUUAGAUACAUAGCUUUUACUGGAGGAGGAAAGCUGCAUUGACUUCUUCUACAAUCAUCAUAAUGGGCCUCCUCCCAUAUUAUUAUUGCUCAUACUUCAAACUUCAUUAUCAUAGUUCCGCGCGUUUCUCUUACCAUUAAUACCAGACGGAUCGGCCAACGAACCCCCACAUAUGUUUUUGCGUCAGUAAGGUCUCGCUCGCGCCUACAGCGGGACUUAUAGUUGUGGACAUUUCGUGUUACCAUGGCGACGCUAUUCACGGGUAAAUUUAAAAAAUGGGCCAAUUGAAUGGGUACAUACCCUUUUAAUGGACAAUGGCUCUGUGACAAACGGCAAAAAGACAAGAUUACCUCCUCUUGUAGCUCAGCCAUACUUUCACGUAGCUUGGUGCUUAACGUCUCAUUUUGUUCACACACACACAUAUAUAUAUAUAACUUGAAUACACCUCACGGUGAUGCUUGGACACG
This is a long non-coding RNA of Entelurus aequoreus (snake pipefish), 5768 nucleotides long. RefSeq lists it as uncharacterized. The record is from RefSeq and is a predicted model, not a curated record. The transcript is spliced from 3 exons. Lineage: Eukaryota; Metazoa; Chordata; Actinopteri; Syngnathiformes; Syngnathidae.